ACACCACCACGCCGUACGCUGCGUUAGCGGAAGUUUAAUGGCCCCAUUGGUGGGAUGCGUGGCCAAUAAAGGGCAAGAAUAAGGCGGAUUCCGCCUUCCUCGUGGCUGACUGGAUGCAUCCGCUGGUACUGAUUUACGAAGAGAAUGAUCAUGAAGGGCAAAUGGCAGUGAAGCAAGAAGAGCUGGCUUCAGGCUCAGAAGAGAAUGCUGUGCCUCUUCCUCAUGGUUUGCGGUGCCCUGCAUGUUCAGAGAAACUUCUCUAGUUUCAGCUGACAUCACUCUCUCAAAAGAAUCGCUGGCACAGGAAUCUUCAUCUCAAGUUCUGCUUCUUGAGAACAUAGCCUGAAACAAGCGUAUGAUUUUAAAACAAUCAUGCAAAGAGGACAAGGAUUGAAAAGAUCAAUAAUGAAGAUAAAAGCAACAACAACAAAAUGGCAGAACUAGUUCUUUUCCUACUUCUGGUAUAAUUUCUUCUUAGCCAAAAUAUGUGAUAAAAAUGACAGUUUAAUAAAACCUAACAAGAUGUCAGUUAAAAGAGAACUACAAAGAGGACUAUUUGAAAAAAAAAUUCUAUCCACUUUCUUUUUUUUUUUUUUUCGAAAUGGAGUCUUGCUCUGUCACCCGGCCUGGGCAACAGAGUGAGACCUUGUCUCAAGAAAAUUUUUAAAAAGGCAGUAUCUUCUGAUAUUAAGGAAGAUGGGUAUUUCUAGUGGAAUUUCAAUAAAAAUUUUUCUAUAAAUAGGG
This is a long non-coding RNA of Homo sapiens (human), 744 nucleotides long. RefSeq lists it as uncharacterized. The record is from RefSeq and is a predicted model, not a curated record. NCBI's taxonomy places the organism in Eukaryota, Metazoa, Chordata, Mammalia, Primates, Hominidae. The transcript has 3 exons.